This 236-nucleotide ribosomal RNA is filed under the name uncultured bacterium. Its description in RNAcentral is "partial 16S ribosomal RNA". It matches the Rfam family "Bacterial small subunit ribosomal RNA", at positions 15 to 244 of the family's 1533-position model. The record is from RNAcentral.
GAUCCUGGCUCGGGAUGAACGCUAGCUACAGGCUUAACACAUGCAAGUCGAGGGGCAGCAUGUUGGUUGCUUGCAACCAACGAUGGCGACCGGCGCACGGGUGAGUAACGCGUAUCCAACCUGCCCUUGUCCAUCGGAUAACCCGUCGAAAGGCGGACUAACACGAUAUGCAGUUCACAGCAGACACCUAACGUGAACGAAAUGUGAAGGAGAAGGAUGGGGAUGCGUCUGAUUAG